UCCCUAAGUCCUAAUGGAGUGGAUACUGAAGUAGCUAAAAUGCUUAUGGGAGAGACAGAAGUUAAGUGGCUUCCACGGGGUGUACCUGUAUCAAUUCCAGAAAAUUGUGCAGACCUAACCGUUGGUGGAUCCUCAGACAUAACAGUUGGUAUAACAGGAGUUGAUGAAAGGUUAGUAAUAUCUUGCAAAACAGUAUUGAAUGCAGAACGUAGAGGGACAGAACCAUUAGAGACAGGUGUAUUAGAACGUGGAAUACUUCUGCUAGUAUUGAUUGCCUCAUUCCUCCGCCAUCUUUUAGGUGGGGUGGAAUAGAACUCUAUGUUUUCAUUGUUAGGUGCUGUUUUUUUACUCAUUAUUCCUGUUUGGAACAAUUGCUAGAACUCUCUAAGCAAAAAUAAAUCUGGUGUUAGGAUUUAAA
This is a long non-coding RNA of Arabidopsis lyrata subsp. lyrata, 418 nucleotides long. RefSeq lists it as uncharacterized. The record is from RefSeq and is a predicted model, not a curated record. The transcript has 2 exons. Lineage: Eukaryota; Viridiplantae; Streptophyta; Magnoliopsida; Brassicales; Brassicaceae.